UAGAGUUUGAUCAUGGCUCAGGAUGAACGCUAGCGGCAGGCCUAACACAUGCAAGUCGAGGGGUAACAGAGAAGCUUGCUUCUGCUGACGACCGGCGCACGGGUGCGUAACGCGUAUGCAACCUACCUCAUACUGGAGAAUAGCCCUUGGAAACGAGGAUUAAUACUCCAUAGUAUCAUUCUUUCGCAUGUUAGAAUGAUUAAAGAAUUUCGGUAUGAGAUGGGCAUGCGUCCCAUUAGCUAGUUGGUGAGGUAACGGCUCACCAAGGCGACGAUGGGUAGGGGGCCUGAGAGGGUGGUCCCCCACACUGGUACUGAGACACGGACCAGACUCCUACGGGAGGCAGCAGUGAGGAAUAUUGGUCAAUGGAGGCAACUCUGAACCAGCCAUGCCGCGUGAAGGAUGACGGCCCUAUGGGUUGUAAACUUCUUUUAUAUGGGAAGAAACUUAUCUACGUGUAGAUAACUGACGGUACCAUACGAAUAAGGAUCGGCUAACUCCGUGCCAGCAGCCGCGGUAAUACGGAGGAUCCAAGCGUUAUCCGGAUUCAUUGGGUUUAAAGGGUCCGUAGGCGGAUUUUUAAGUCAGUGGUGAAAGCCGGCAGCUCAACUGUCGAACUGCCAUUGAUACUGGAAAUCUUGAGUACAAAUGAAGUA
This 656-nucleotide ribosomal RNA is filed under the name uncultured bacterium. RNAcentral describes it as "bacterial SSU rRNA". It matches the Rfam family "Bacterial small subunit ribosomal RNA", at positions 1 to 659 of the family's 1533-position model. The record is from RNAcentral.